CCUACGGGUGGCAGCAGUCGAGAAUCAUUCACAAUGGGGGCAACCCUGAUGGUGCGACGCCGCGUGGGGGAAUGAAGGUCUUCGGAUUGUAAACCCCUGUCAUGUGGGAGCAAAUUCACAAGAUAGUACCACAAGAGGAAUAGACGGCUAACUCUGUGCCAGCAGCCGCGGUAAUACAGAGGUCUCAAGCGUUGUUCGGAAUCACUGGGCGUAAAGGGUGCGUAGGCUGUUUCGUAAGUCGUGUGUGAAAGGCGCGGGCUCAACCCGCGGACGGCACAUGAUACUGCGAGACUAGAGUAAUGGAGGGGGAACCGGAAUUCUCGGUGUAGCAGUGAAAUGCGUAGAUAUCGAGAGGAACACUCGUGGCGAAGGCGGGUUCCUGGACAUUAACUGACGCUGAGGCACGAAGGCCAGGGGAGCGAAAGGGAUUAGAUACCCUUGUAGUC
This 446-nucleotide ribosomal RNA is filed under the name uncultured bacterium. Its description in RNAcentral is "partial 16S ribosomal RNA". It matches the Rfam family "Bacterial small subunit ribosomal RNA", at positions 338 to 795 of the family's 1533-position model. The record is from RNAcentral.